GACGAACGCUGGCGGCGUGCUUAACACAUGCAAGUCGAGCGAUGAAGUUCCUUCGGGAAUGAAUUAGCGGCGGACGGGUGAGUAACACGUGGGUAACCUGCCUCAUAGAGGGGAAUAGCCUUCCGAAAGGAAGAUUAAUACCGCAUAAGAUUGUAGUACCGCAUGGUACAGCAAUUAAAGGAGCAAUCCGCUAUGAGAUGGACCCGCGUCGCAUUAGCUAGUUGGUGAGGUAACGGCUCACCAAGGCGACGAUGCGUAGCCGACCUGAGAGGGUGAUCGGCCACAUUGGGACUGAGACACGGCCCAGACUCCUACGGGAGGCAGCAGUGGGGAAUAUUGCACAAUGGGGGAAACCCUGAUGCAGCAACGCCGCGUGAGUGAUGACGGUCUUCGGAUUGUAAAACUCUGUCUUCAGGGACGAUAAUGACGGUACCUGAGGAGGAAGCCACGGCUAACUUCGUGCCAGCAGCCGCAGUAA
RNAcentral lists this ribosomal RNA (478 nucleotides) under uncultured bacterium. Its description in RNAcentral is "partial 16S ribosomal RNA". It matches the Rfam family "Bacterial small subunit ribosomal RNA", at positions 28 to 523 of the family's 1533-position model. The record is from RNAcentral.